GACGAACGCUGGCGGCGUGCUUAACACAUGCAAGUCGAGCGGUAAGGCCCUUUCGGGGGUACACGAGCGGCGAACGGGUGAGUAACACGUGGGUGACCUGCCCUCAGCUCUGGGAUAAGCCUGGGAAACUGGGUCUAAUACCGGAUAUGACUCCAUGACGCAUGUUGUGGGGUGGAAAGCCUUGUGCGGCUGAGGAUGGGCCCGCGGCCUAUCAGCUUGUUGGUGGGGUGAGGCCUACCAAGGCGACGACGGGUAGCCGGCCUGAGAGGGCGACCGGCCACACUGGGACUGAGACACGGCCCAGACUCCUACGGGAGGCAGCAGUGGGGAAUCUUGCGCAAUGGGCGAAAGCCUGACGCAGCGACGCCGCGUGAGGGAUGACGG
This 384-nucleotide ribosomal RNA is filed under the name uncultured bacterium. RNAcentral's name for it is "bacterial SSU rRNA". It matches the Rfam family "Bacterial small subunit ribosomal RNA", at positions 28 to 414 of the family's 1533-position model. The record is from RNAcentral.